This 164-nucleotide ribosomal RNA is filed under the name Myrcia bicarinata. RNAcentral describes it as "5.8S ribosomal RNA". It matches the Rfam family "5.8S ribosomal RNA". From Rfam's summary of the family: 5.8S ribosomal RNA (5.8S rRNA) is a component of the large subunit of the eukaryotic ribosome. The record is from RNAcentral. Lineage: Eukaryota; Viridiplantae; Streptophyta; Magnoliopsida; Myrtales; Myrtaceae.
UAACGACUCUCGGCAACGGAUAUCUCGGCUCUCGCAUCGAUGAAGAACGUAGCGAACUGCGAUACUUGGUGUGAAUUGCAGAAUCCCGUGAACCAUCGAGUCUUUGAACGCAAGUUGCGCCCGAAGCCAUCUUUUUGGACGAGGGCACGUUUGCCUGGGUGUCA